Molecule: long non-coding RNA, 383 nt
Filed under: Gossypium barbadense (sea-island cotton)
Lineage: Eukaryota; Viridiplantae; Streptophyta; Magnoliopsida; Malvales; Malvaceae
Description: long non-coding RNA (GBAR_LNC000182)
Source: RNAcentral
GACAAACAGGCAGCUAUGAGUACUGAAGGGAAAGUCGGGUGGGAGGAAAUUGUGGAUUCACGACUGGACGGUAAGUUUGACUUGCAAGAACUCAACGAAAUAGCAGCUCUUGCGUAUAAAUGUGUGAAUCGGGUUCCCAAAAAACGACCUUCCAUGAGGGACAUUGUGCAAGUGCUAACACGAAUCCUUAAAACAAGACACCGCAAGAAGCAUCAGAAGUCCCUAUCUGCAACCGCAGAUGAGGUUUUGGUCGACGUAGAGCAAGGAGAAACAAAGAACCCAAUAACCGAACACCAGAGAGAGGAGUCCAUGGACAGUGCAGCUGACACCUUUGAAAUGUAACAUAGCUGAUACCAGCGGUUCUUCCAUUUGUUAAUUUGUUA